GUUUAAUAGGGAUAUUUCGGCUCACAGAGGGGAAUUUGUCACUGGAAUCACCAGGGAAACCGCUCUCCGAUGACUGGAGAGAUGUUUUAAGAGCCUUGUCAAUCAGGUGGAGAACUACCCCCAAUUUCUCAGCACCUACAGGGAUCUGGCAGAUGAUGCCUCUGGCACAACCCAGCUGCAUCUUCCUAUAGGCUUUCAACUUGGUCAUCGAGGUGCUGAACACUACAGACCACCUGCAGUACACCAGGGAGUGGGCACUCCCCAGAUAUUGCCAAAAUAUCCAGAUGGUUGGAUUGUUGCUUCAUUGUUUUGGGCAAGACAGACUGGCUUUAGUGCUUUUCUGUAAUCCAAAUUAAAGUUAAACAAGAAAUAAAGUACCUGUAUGUU
Molecule: RNA transcript, 387 nt
Organism: Paramormyrops kingsleyae
Lineage: Eukaryota; Metazoa; Chordata; Actinopteri; Osteoglossiformes; Mormyridae
Source: RefSeq, a predicted model, not a curated record